CACGUAGGGGGCGAGCGUUGUCCGGAUUUAUUGGGCGUAAAGAGCUCGUAGGCGGCUCAGUAAGUCGGGUGUGAAAACUCCAGGCUCAACCUGGAGACGCCACCCGAUACUGCUGUGGCUAGAGUCCGGUAGGGGAGCGUGGAAUUCCUGGUGUAGCGGUGAAAUGCGUAGAUAUCAGGAGGAACACCGGUGGCGAAGGCGGCUCUCUGGUCCGCAACUGACGCUCAGGUGCGAAAGCAAGGGGAGCAAACGGG
This 254-nucleotide ribosomal RNA is filed under the name uncultured bacterium. RNAcentral describes it as "partial 16S ribosomal RNA". It matches the Rfam family "Bacterial small subunit ribosomal RNA", at positions 524 to 776 of the family's 1533-position model. The record is from RNAcentral.